Long non-coding RNA from Alosa sapidissima (American shad), 581 nucleotides. RefSeq lists it as uncharacterized. NCBI's taxonomy places the organism in Eukaryota, Metazoa, Chordata, Actinopteri, Clupeiformes, Clupeidae. The record is from RefSeq and is a predicted model, not a curated record. The transcript has 2 exons.
AGUUAAAAAUGUAGUGUAUUGUUAUAUAUGAUUUUCGCCAAAGUAAAACAGCCUUGUUUAAUAGUUGUGAAUGGGAGCCACCCUUGGCCAUAUGGUGUACUGCAGAUCUGCUGCGUGUAGUCUUGUGUUGCUUCCCUACCCGAUCAGAGUAGCCGUAUGCUUUUGAUCUGGUAGGUUCACUGUACAAAGCACUCCACCCAGUAUAUCAGUUUUCUAUUGAUGUUUAAGUUGAUAACUUCGAUGUUUCCCAGGUGUUAUACUAUUUUACAUGCACUAUGCUGUACGUGGUACACCGAAGCCUGAAGGCAAUGUUUUGAUUUAUUUUCUUAAAGGUAUGUGGCUCCGUAAUGUAAAUAGGUUCUAGUGAAGUGCUGUAACUUUAUGCAGUUUAGUUAUGCCCAUUCUAUAUGGGAAGUUAAAUGUCAUGAUUCAGAUAAAAUUAUGCAUUUUCUAUUAUUGAGAGAGUAAUUAGCGGAGUAGCCGUAUGCUUUUGAUCUGAUGCUGUACGUGGUACACCGAAGCCUGAAGGCAAUGUUUUGAUUUAUUUUCUUAAAGGAAAAUAAAAAGGAAGAAAAAUUCAA